AAAUGAUCUGGUGCAUUCAAGUCCAGACAGGAGAAGGAUUCUAGAAUUGAGGUGGAAGCAAACCCAUGGCAGGCAUCUCCUUGGUGUGGCAGAAUAAUGAAGUAAAAAGCAGAAAUGAAUCCAGGGUCAUAAUAUAGUGUUUGAAUGCCCAGGACCUGGAGGUAAGAGUGAACAGCAUUCCCCAGGGAUGG
RNAcentral lists this long non-coding RNA (191 nucleotides) under Zonotrichia albicollis (white-throated sparrow). RNAcentral describes it as "lncRNA (ENSZALG00000000579.1)". The record is from RNAcentral. Lineage: Eukaryota; Metazoa; Chordata; Aves; Passeriformes; Passerellidae.